AGUUGCUUCCUGGCUGCUUUACGGUCGAUUUGCAGGCAGUCCGCUUUGUACAAGCCAUGGUAUAGAGGCUUCCUUAUUUACCUCCCUUAUCCUUCAGCUGGAGCUCUGCGAGCCAGAGGCAGCGCUGGCGUUGGAGAGUGAUGGCGGCAUGGCGGUGCGGCGGCGGCUGCGAACACCUUGAGGACGGGUCGCAUUAUGUUGCCCAGGCUGGACUUGAACUUCUGGGCUCGAGCAAUUCUCCCACCUCAGCCUACCAAGCAGCUGGGACUACAGGUCUGCACCACUGCACCCCACCCAUUCAAGUCCACAUCCCCAGAAACGAGGAUAAUGCUUGGCACAAGGUGUUUAUAAUUCCCUUGGUUUUCUUCACAAUUUCACCACAUAAAUGUUUUGAUGACAAGCUUAAAAAAUUUUUUGCUGAGUGGCUGGCAAGAUGGCCCAAUAGGAACAGCUCCAGCCUGCAGCUCCCAGUGAGAUCAACGCAGAAGAAUUCUUCCAACUUUUAAAUGGAACACAAGUGUCCUUUUAAGGUUCAUUAUCCUAUAGUACAUGGAAUCCAAGGAAGAAUUGAUCUCCUUAUCCCUGUGAAUCAUCCAGAUGUUAACUGCUUCUCAGCAUCAUGUCCUCCUCGAGAUCAAUUUGGGAAACUCCUCCCAUGGCAAAGACAGCUAGUUGUCUAUAAUUUGUUUCCUCCUUUUCCUUAGCCCCAGACCCUUGAUUUUUAGCUAGGUAAAUGUCUAUCUAUAAUAAAGACCCCAUUUUCCAGACUUCCUUGCUGCAGGUGUACACAUGUGACUAAAUCCUAGAUGAUGAGAUGUAAGCUGAAAUUGUGUGUGCAACUUCUAAGAAAUGUUUCUAAAAACAGCAGCCACACUUUUCUUUGUGGUUGUCUUCUUCCUAUUAGAAUACAGAUGAAAUGUCAAGGAUUCUAGCAGCCAGCUUCAACAAUAAGAUGACCUUGAGAAGGUAAACUACCUAUAGAAAGUGACAAAAAAUAGUACUUAUCUCAAAGAUACAUGUAAAUAAUAAUGAGAAAAUGCCUAAGAUGUAUUUAGAUAGUGGUUGUCACAUAAAAGUUAUUCAAUAAACAUUUAUUGAUUUU
Molecule: long non-coding RNA, 1102 nt
Organism: Homo sapiens (human)
Lineage: Eukaryota; Metazoa; Chordata; Mammalia; Primates; Hominidae
Product: long intergenic non-protein coding RNA 1205
Source: Ensembl